Molecule: non-coding RNA, 29 nt
Filed under: Homo sapiens (human)
Lineage: Eukaryota; Metazoa; Chordata; Mammalia; Primates; Hominidae
Source: RNAcentral
UGCGAGAUGCUGCUUCUCAGAGCUGCUGU